Molecule: ribosomal RNA, 370 nt
Filed under: uncultured organism
Description: partial 16S ribosomal RNA
Rfam family: Bacterial small subunit ribosomal RNA
Source: RNAcentral
GGAGGGUGCGAGCGUUAAUCGGAAUUACUGGGCGUAAAGCGCGCGUAGGCGGCUUGGUCAGUCGGAUGUGAAAGCCCCGGGCUUAACCUGGGAAUUGCAUUCGAUACUGCCUGGCUAGAGUAUGGUAGAGGGAAGUGGAAUUUCCGGUGUAGCGGUGAAAUGCGUAGAUAUCGGAAGGAACACCAGUGGCGAAGGCGGCUUCCUGGACCAAUACUGACGCUCAGGUGCGAAAGCGUGGGGAGCGAACAGGGAUUAGAUACCCUGGUAGUCCACGCCGUAAACGAUGAGAACUAGAUGUUGGGAGGAUUUGCCUUUCAGUGUCGCAGCUAACGCGUUAAGUUCUCCGCCUGGGGAUACGGCCGCAAGGUUG